CCCGCACAAGCGGUGGAGUAUGUGGUUUAAUUCGAUGCAACGCGGAGAACCUUACCUGGUCUUGACAUCCCGGAGACCCUUAGGAAACUAGGGGGUGCUUCCAUCUGGAAGAAUCUGGAGACAGGUGCUGCAUGGCUGUCGUCAGCUCGUGUCGUGAGAUGUUGGGUUAAGUCCCGCAACGAGCGCAACCCUUGCCUUUAGUUGCCAGCAGUUCGGCUGGGCACUCUAAAGGGACUGCCGGUGUUAAACCGGAGGAAGGUGGGGAUGACGUCAAGUCCUCAUGGCCUUUAUGACCAGGGCUACACACGUACUACAAUGGCCGAUACAAAGGGCAGCGACACUGCGAGGUGAAGCCAAUCCCGUAAAAUCGGUCUCAGUCCGGAUUGGAGUCUGAAACUCGACUCCAUGAAGUUGGAAUCGCUAGUAAUCGCGCAUCAGCAUGGCGCGGUGAAUACGUUCCCGGGCCUU
RNAcentral lists this ribosomal RNA (468 nucleotides) under uncultured Desulfobulbus sp. Its description in RNAcentral is "bacterial SSU rRNA". It matches the Rfam family "Bacterial small subunit ribosomal RNA", at positions 920 to 1382 of the family's 1533-position model. Lineage: Bacteria; Pseudomonadati; Thermodesulfobacteriota; Desulfobulbia; Desulfobulbales; Desulfobulbaceae. The record is from RNAcentral.